Molecule: transfer RNA, 40 nt
Filed under: Notholaena sulphurea
Lineage: Eukaryota; Viridiplantae; Streptophyta; Polypodiopsida; Polypodiales; Pteridaceae
Description: partial tRNA-Phe
Rfam family: tRNA
About the family: Transfer RNA (tRNA) molecules are approximately 80 nucleotides in length. Their secondary structure includes four short double-helical elements and three loops (D, anti-codon, and T loops).
Source: RNAcentral
GCUGGGAUAGCUCAGUUGGUAGAGCAGAGGACUGAAAAUC